This 512-nucleotide long non-coding RNA is filed under the name Homo sapiens (human). Its description in RNAcentral is "non-protein coding lnc-SLC7A5-2:1". The record is from RNAcentral. Lineage: Eukaryota; Metazoa; Chordata; Mammalia; Primates; Hominidae.
CAAAGUGCUGAGAUUACAGGGGUGAGCUACUGCGCCCCAAGAAAUGACUUCAAAAGGAAAAAUGUGAGCACCAACGUAAGCUGGUGUAAUGUAACGUAAUUCCCACCAAUGUAAGUUGGCAGGAAUCCUUGCUCUGUAUAGAAGGGUCACAUUUUCUCAUCACUGCUUGCAAGUGUGACAGCAGUGGCCUCAUGGCCUUAUCUGGGGGAAAGCACUUCCUUCCAAGCACCAUGAAGGCCUCACGUGCUGAGACAAGAUGGAAGCUCCUAGUCUCCCCUGAGGACUGACACGUCCUGUGCUUCUCGGUCUCUCAGGACGCGCGGGCGGCCAUGCGCCCCUUCGACCCCUCCACUCUGCUGCCCACCUGCUGGGAUUACUGGACCUACGCGGGCUCGCUCACCACCCCGCCGCUGACCGAGUCGGUCACCUGGAUCAUCCAGAAGGAGCCCGUUGAAGUGGCCCCAAGCCAGCUCUCUGCAUUUCGUACUCUCCUGUUUUCUGCACUUGGUGAA